This 578-nucleotide ribosomal RNA is filed under the name Phaeoacremonium sp. NRRL 32148. RNAcentral describes it as "eukaryotic LSU rRNA". It matches the Rfam family "Eukaryotic large subunit ribosomal RNA", at positions 1 to 590 of the family's 3401-position model. Lineage: Eukaryota; Fungi; Ascomycota; Sordariomycetes; Togniniales; Togniniaceae. The record is from RNAcentral.
UUGACCUCGGAUCAGGUAGGAAUACCCGCUGAACUUAAGCAUAUCAAUAAGCGGAGGAAAAGAAACCAACAGGGAUUGCCCCAGUAACGGCGAGUGAAGCGGCAACAGCUCAAAUUUGAAAUCUGGCUUCGGCCCGAGUUGUAAUUUGUAGAGGAUGCUUCUGGCGCGGUGCCUUCCGAGUUCCCUGGAACGGGACGCCAUAGAGGGUGAGAGCCCCGUAUGGAUGGAUACCUAGCCUGUGUGAAGCUCCUUCGACGAGUCGAGUAGUUUGGGAAUGCUGCUCAAAAUGGGAGGUAUAUCUCUUCUAAAGCUAAAUACCGGCCAGAGACCGAUAGCGCACAAGUAGAGUGAUCGAAAGAUGAAAAGCACCUUGAAAAGGGGGUUAAACAGCACGUGAAAUUGUUGAAAGGGAAGCGCCCAUGACCAGACUUGUGCCCGGCGGAUCACCCAGCGUUCUCGCUGGGGCACUCCGCCGGGUCCAGGCCAGCAUCGGUUUUCGCCGGGGGAUAAAGGCUCUGGGAACGUAGCUCCUCCGGGAGUGUUAUAGCCCUCUGCGUAAUACCCUGGCGGGGACCGAG